Molecule: unclassified non-coding RNA, 220 nt
Filed under: plant metagenome
Description: partial contains small subunit ribosomal RNA, internal transcribed spacer 1, and 5.8S ribosomal RNA
Source: RNAcentral
UUUCCGUAGGUGAACCUGCGGAAGGAUCAUUACAGAGUUCAUGCCCUCACGGGUAGAUCUCCCACCCUUGAAUAUUUAUACCUUAGUUGCUUUGGCAGGCCGUGGAAACACCAUGGGCUCCGGCUUAUGCGUGCCUGCCAGAGGAAACAAACUCUGCUUUUAGUGAUGUCUGAGUACUAUAUAAUAGUUAAAACUUUCAACAACGGAUCUCUUGGUUCUG